Scleropages formosus (Asian bonytongue) is the source of this 578-nucleotide non-coding RNA. Lineage: Eukaryota; Metazoa; Chordata; Actinopteri; Osteoglossiformes; Osteoglossidae. The record is from the annotation of a RefSeq genome assembly.
AAUACACGUUAGAAAUAUGAAGCUCAGUUUUAUUCCUUUCCUGCUUUUUCUUGAUGGUGUGAACCUCCAGGUCUCCCAGUCUCCGCAUGACCUGGUCCUUUCUCCUGGCUCACCCAUGAAAGUCACAUGUUCUGUGGCUGUGACCAGUGACCCAUACAUGUACUGGUAUCGCUGGACUUUGACAGAUGGACUGGCUCACAUGUUCACUUCCGUUGGUUCCGGAAUUGUGGAUCCGGUCAGCGUAGAUGGAUUUAGCGCAAGCCGACCUAACAGCUCCCACUUUGUGUUGGAGUCUCAAAGUGUGGCUCCAUCGACCCCCGCUGUGCUCUACUGCUCCUGGAGUAUCCACAGCUGAACAAAACAGGCAGGCUGCUGAACAAAAACUGCACUUUAUCAGUAAAACAUUAGGGGGUAUUGUGGAGAAGCACCAUAUGUGGGACAUCAGUAAGUCAUGGCUAAUGUCUUCCUCUGUGUACCAACCUGACUCCUGCCCCUCUAUAGUGAAGAGUGCCUAGGAACAACAUUCAGGUGCUUUGUCAAUGUUUUCCCUCAUCUGUGCCCCAGAGGAGAGAGUCGAA